This 329-nucleotide unclassified non-coding RNA is filed under the name soil metagenome. RNAcentral's name for it is "partial contains 5.8S ribosomal RNA, internal transcribed spacer 2, and large subunit ribosomal RNA". The stretch from base 1 to 120 matches the Rfam family "5.8S ribosomal RNA", at positions 35 to 154 of the family's 154-position model. The record is from RNAcentral.
GAUGAAGAACGCAGCGAAAUGCGAUAAGUAAUGUGAAUUGCAGAAUUCAGUGAAUCAUCGAAUCUUUGAACGCACAUUGCGCCCCCUGGUAUUCCGGGGGGCAUGCCUGUCCCAGCGUCAUUACAACCCUCAAGCUCAGCUUGGUGUUGGGCCCCGCCGCCCCGGCGGGCCCUAAAGUCAGUGGCGGUGCCGUCCGGCUCCGAGCGUAGUAAUUCUUCUCGCUCUGGAGGUCCGGUCGUGUGCUCGCCAGCAACCCCCAAUUUUUUUCAGGUUGACCUCGGAUCAGGUAGGGAUACCCGCUGAACUUAAGCAUAUCAAUAAGCGGAGGA